RNAcentral lists this ribosomal RNA (252 nucleotides) under uncultured prokaryote. RNAcentral's name for it is "partial 16S ribosomal RNA". It matches the Rfam family "Bacterial small subunit ribosomal RNA", at positions 525 to 775 of the family's 1533-position model. The record is from RNAcentral.
ACGUAGGAGGCUAGCUUUCUCCUGAUUUACUGGGUGUAAAGCGCGUGCAGGCGGUUUAGCAAGUCGUGCGUGAAAGCUCCCAGGCUUAACCGGGAGAGGACGUGCGAGACUGUCGGACUAGAGGCAGGUAGAGGCAAGUGGAAUUCCGGGUGUAGUGGUGAAAUGCGUAGAGAUCCGGAGGAACCCCGGUGGCGAAGGCGACUUGCUGGGCCUGAACUGACGCUCAGACGCGAAAGCAUGGGGAGCGAACGG